Molecule: ribosomal RNA, 465 nt
Filed under: uncultured bacterium
Lineage: Bacteria
Description: partial 16S ribosomal RNA
Rfam family: Bacterial small subunit ribosomal RNA
Source: RNAcentral
CCUACGGGAGGCAGCAGGAGGGAAUCUUACACAAUGGACGAAAGUCUGAUGGAGCAACGCCGCGGGAGUGAAGAAGGGUGUCGGCGAGUAAAGCUCUGUUGGUAGAGAAGAAAGAUAGAGGGAGUAACUGGCCUUUAGUUGACGGUAAGUACGCAGAAAGGCACGGCUAACUACGUGCCAGCAGCCGCGGUAAGACGUAGGUGGCAAGCGUUGGCCGGAUUUAUUGGGCGGAAAGCGAGUGCAGGCGGUUCCAUAAGUCUGAUGUGAAAGCCUUCGGCUCAACCGGAGAAUUGCAUCAGAAACUGUUGAACUUGAGUGCAGCAGAGGAGAGUGGAACUCCCUGUGUAGCGGUGAAAUGCGUAGAUAUAUGGAAGAACACCAGUGGCGAAGGCGGCUCUCUGGUCUGCAACUGACGCUGAGGCUCGAAAGCCUGGGUAGCGAACAGGAUUAGAUACCCGGGUAGUC